UCCGAGUUGACCCCGGCAGUCUCCUAUGAGUCCCCGCCAUCACGCGCUGGCAACAUAGAACGAGGGUUGCGCUCGUUGCGGGACUUAACCCAACAUCUCACGGCACGAGCUGACGACAGCCAUGCAGCACCUCUAUGGCAGCCCCCGAAGGGGAAGACCUGUUUCCAGGCCGGUCCGCCACAGUUCAAGCCCAGGUAAGGUUCUUCGCGUUGCAUCGAAUUAAACCACAUGCUCCACCGCUUGUGCGGACCCCCGCCAAUUCCUUUGAGUUUCAACCUUGCGGUCGUACUUCCCAGGUGGGAUACUUAAUGCUUUCGCUCAGACACACACAGUGUAUCGCGUAUGUCGAGUAUCCAUAGUUUAGGGCGUGGACUAC
RNAcentral lists this unclassified non-coding RNA (376 nucleotides) under uncultured bacterium. RNAcentral describes it as "contains 16S-23S intergenic spacer region". The record is from RNAcentral.